This 116-nucleotide ribosomal RNA is filed under the name uncultured bacterium. Its description in RNAcentral is "partial 16S ribosomal RNA". It matches the Rfam family "Bacterial small subunit ribosomal RNA", at positions 1369 to 1482 of the family's 1533-position model. The record is from RNAcentral.
CGUUCCCGGGUCUUGUACACACCGCCCGUCACACCACGAAAGUCGGCAACACCCGAAGCCGGUGGCCCAACCCGCAAGGGAGGGAGCCGUCGAAGGUGGGGCUGGCGAUUGGGGUG